CGACGUCUGUUCCUCUUCCUGUUUGAAGUCCAACAGGAGGAUUUUAUGAUGUCGUAGAGAAACCUGGGUCUUUUUCACCUGGAAAGCUUCAGGCUGCAGCCAAAACCAAAACCGCUUUCUGGUUUUGCGGGACCCAACAAAC
Molecule: small nucleolar RNA, 142 nt
Organism: Nothobranchius furzeri (turquoise killifish)
Lineage: Eukaryota; Metazoa; Chordata; Actinopteri; Cyprinodontiformes; Nothobranchiidae
Source: Ensembl